Molecule: ribosomal RNA, 473 nt
Filed under: uncultured bacterium
Lineage: Bacteria
Description: partial 16S ribosomal RNA
Rfam family: Bacterial small subunit ribosomal RNA
Source: RNAcentral
GAUGAACGCUAGCGGCAGGCCUAAUACAUGCAAGUCGAACGGGCGGUCGCAAGACCACUUGUGGCGCACGGGUGCGUAACGCGUAACCAACCUGCCCCGAUCUGGGGGUUAGCCCGCCGAAAGGCGGAUUAAUACCGCAUAUACCCGCAGCCUGGCAUCAGGCAACGGGGAAAGAUUUAUUGGAUCGGGAUGGGGUUGCGUGGCAUGAGCUAGUUGGCGGGGUAAGGGCCCACCGAGGCGACGAUGUCUAGGGGACCUGAGAGGGUGAUCCCCCACACUGGGACUGGGAUCCGGGCCAGACUCCUACGGGAGGCAGCAGUAGGGAAUAUUGGGCAGUGGGCGAGAGCCUGACCCAGCCAUGCCGCGUGCCGGAUGAAGGCCUUCUGGGUUGUAAACGGCUUUUCUCAGGGAAGAAAAAGACCUUGCGAGGUACACUGACGGUACCUGAGGAAUAAGCACCGGCUAACUCCGUG